Molecule: ribosomal RNA, 271 nt
Filed under: uncultured bacterium
Lineage: Bacteria
Description: partial 16S ribosomal RNA
Rfam family: Bacterial small subunit ribosomal RNA
Source: RNAcentral
UACGUAGGGUGCGAGCGUUAAUCGGAAUUACUGGGCGUAAAGGGUGCGUAGGCGGGUCUUUAAGUCAGAGGUGAAAUCCUGGAGCUCAACUCCAGAACUGCCUUUGAUACUGAGGAUCUUGAGUUCGGGAGAGGUGAGUGGAACUGCGAGUGUAGAGGUGAAAUUCGUAGAUAUUCGCAAGAACACCAGUGGCGAAGGCGGCUCACUGGCCCGAUACUGACGCUGAGGCACGAAAGCGUGGGGAGCAAACAGGAUUAGAUACCCUAGUAGU